AUGGAGGAUGGCCUUGAGCUUAGUUUAGGCCUCUCUUUGGGUGGUGGGUCUUCUGGGAAGUCUAAGGCAAGAGAUGCUUCUCUAGAGCCUAAAGCAGAACCUCAAGUGGAAGAGAGCAGUAGCAAAGGCGUCUCGCAACCUCCCGAUGCUCCUUUUGCGCAUUACUAUCAAGCAACUGCUGAGAACCAGGAACACAGUAGCAAGCAGAGGCAUAGCCCUGCUACCCCGCCAUUUGGAAACUUCUGGGGACAACACGGUGGCUCCUCUGCUCCAGUGGCAGAUGGAUCAAGUGAACUAAUAGCCCACCAAUCUCAGCUUCCCCAGUAUCAGGAGGGGCGGACUCCAAAUAAUAUUGGAAAUAAUUCGGAGGAAAACAUGCCAGUCUCAAGUAAACGAAAGCUGCUUUCUGAAGAGACAAGUUUUCAGAAGAAGCAUCAUUCUGCUGCUGACCAGCCUGAUGCAUUCAGUAAGAGCUCUGAGGGAGGUGUGAAAAAUGCACCGAUUUCAAUUAGCACGGAUGAUGGUUCAACAGGUGAAAAUGAGGAUGUUGCAGACUCGGAAGCAGAAGGCUCAAACUCUUGGUUGGUUGCACAGCGUGAAGACAGUGCCAAGGGCUCUGUGGUAAACAGAGGAUCCGAUAUAAAGAGAUCCAGUGAUGAUGCUACAGGUGGAUUUCAAGGAAAAAGGCAACCGAGCUUUUCAGGAAGUGAAUCUAGCUCUGGAAAGUUGCCGCAUGGAAAUCCCUUACAAGCAUCGAAUGUAGUGACUGCACAAUAUCAAGGCCAGACUCAGGUUUCAGCACCCCUGGGCAUAACUAAUGCACCCAAUUUUCCUCCAAUGUAUACAGUGCAAUUGAGGCCACCCGUAAACAAUGGACCAGCGGUCCAGACGAUGGGUGGUGCCUCCCAGGUUUCUUUUGGUUACCCAACAGGUCAGCUACCAAUACUUGAAACGAGCUCUUCAUGGGCAUUUGGUACUCCGCCUCAGGCUAUUUCUUCCUUUGCUGCAAAGCAAGCCGAACGAGCAGGAGCCAAACAAGCUGAUGAUGGAAAGAAACCUCAAGAGGCUGGCGCGUCCUCCUCUGCUCUUUUGGAGGAUGGUAAGGUCGUUGAGAAGGUAUUGCCUCUCAUGGGCUCGGGCUCUGGUAUAAGGCCGGGCAUCGCCCCGAAUGUCAAAUUCGGAGGGUCCGGAUCAUACCCUGAUCUUCCCUGGGUAUCCACAACCGGGUCUGGACCAAAUGGCAGGACCAUAUCGGGCGUAACAUACAACUUCGGCAGAAACGAAGUGAAGAUCGUGUGUGCUUGCCAUGGCACACACAUGACGCCUGAGGAGUUCACGCGACACGCUAGCGUGGACGCAACAGGCCAGGAGAACAAUGCUACCAUGUCGGCGUUUCCUGUCGGGAAUCAAGCGGCCUCAGCCCAAAACUAA
Molecule: ribosomal RNA, 1431 nt
Filed under: Triticum aestivum (bread wheat)
Lineage: Eukaryota; Viridiplantae; Streptophyta; Magnoliopsida; Poales; Poaceae
Description: partial small subunit ribosomal RNA
Source: RNAcentral